UGGUCAAGUUAUUAAGGGUGCAGGGCGGAUGCCUUGGCACUAGGAGCCGAUGAAGGACGUGAUAAGCUGCGAUAAGCUUCGGGGAGUUGCACGUAAACUUUGAUCCGAAGAUUUCCGAAUGAGGAAACUCACUUAGAGUAAUGUCUAAGUAUCAUUAAGUGAAUACAUAGCUUAAUGAGGGGAACUCAGGGAACUGAAACAUCUAAGUACCUGAAGGAAGAGAAAGAAAUUCGAUUCCGUAAGUAGCGGCGAGCGAACGCGGAUUAGCCCAAACCAAUAAAGUUUUCUUUAUUGGGGUUGCGGACAUAUCAUAACGAAGAGGUAUCGUAAUUGAAGAGGUUUGGAAAGACCCACCACAGAAGGUAAUAGUCCUGUAUGUUAAACGAGAAGACUUUAGAUAUGAUCCAGAGUACCACGGGACACGUGAAACCCUGUGGGAAGCAGGAGGG
Molecule: ribosomal RNA, 449 nt
Filed under: Clostridioides difficile
Lineage: Bacteria; Bacillati; Bacillota; Clostridia; Peptostreptococcales; Peptostreptococcaceae
Description: partial 23S ribosomal RNA
Rfam family: Bacterial large subunit ribosomal RNA
Source: RNAcentral